RNAcentral lists this ribosomal RNA (497 nucleotides) under uncultured bacterium. Its description in RNAcentral is "partial 16S ribosomal RNA". It matches the Rfam family "Bacterial small subunit ribosomal RNA", at positions 28 to 507 of the family's 1533-position model. The record is from RNAcentral.
GAUGAACGCUGGCGGCGUGCCUAAUACAUGCAAGUCGAGCGAACGGACGAGAAGCUUGCUUCUCUGAUGUUAGCGGCGGACGGGUGAGUAACACGUGGAUAACCUACCUAUAAGACUGGGAUAACUUCGGGAAACCGGAGCUAAUACCGGAUAAUAUUUUGAACCGCAUGGUUCAAAAGUGAAAGACGGUCUUGCUGUCACUUAUAGAUGGAUCCGCGCUGCAUUAGCUAGUUGGUAAGGUAACGGCUUACCAAGGCAACGAUGCAUAGCCGACCUGAGAGGGUGAUCGGCCACACUGGAACUGGGACACGGUCCAGACUCCUACGGGAGGCAGCAGUGGGGAAUCUUCCGAAAGGGGCGAAAGCCUGACGGAGCAACGCCGCGUGAGUGAUGAAGGUCUUCGGAUCGUAAAACUCUGUUAUUAGGGAAAAACAUAUGUGUAAGUAACUGUGCACAUCUUGACGGUACCUAAUCAGAAAGCCACGGCUAACUACGUG